Molecule: ribosomal RNA, 509 nt
Filed under: uncultured bacterium
Lineage: Bacteria
Description: partial 16S ribosomal RNA
Rfam family: Bacterial small subunit ribosomal RNA
Source: RNAcentral
ACGAACGCUGGCGGCGUGCUUAACACAUGCAAGUCGAACGAAGAGCGAUGGAAGCUUGCUUCUAUCAAUCUUAGUGGCGAACGGGUGAGUAACGCGUAAUCAACCUGCCCUUCAGAGGGGGACAACAGUUGGAAACGACUGCUAAUACCGCAUACGAUCUAAUCUCGGCAUCGAGGAUAGAUGAAAGGUGGCCUCUACAUGUAAGCUAUCACUGAAGGAGGGGAUUGCGUCUGAUUAGCUAGUUGGAGGGGUAACGGCCCACCAAGGCGAUGAUCAGUAGCCGGUCGGAGAGGAUGAACGGCCACAUUGGGACUGAGACACGGCCCAGACUCCUACGGGAGGCAGCAGUGGGGAAUCUUCCGCAAUGGACGAAAGUCUGACGGAGCAACGCCGCGUGAGUGAUGACGGCCUUCGGGUUGUAAAGCUCUGUUAAUCGGGACGAAAGGCCUUCUUGCGAAUAGUGAGAAGGAUUGACGGUACCGGAAUAGAAAGCCACGGCUAACUACGUG